AGUGAACGCUGGCGGUAGGCCUAACACAUGCAAGCCGAACGGCAGCACAGUAAGAGCUUGCUCUUACGGGUGGCGAGUGGCGGACGGGUGAGGAAUACAUCGGAAUCUACUUUUUCGUGGGGGAUAACGUAGGGAAACUUACGCUAAUACCGCAUACGACCUACGGGUGAAAGCAGGGGAUCUUCGGACCUUGCGCGAUUGAAUGAGCCGAUGUCGGAUUAGCUAGUUGGCGGGGUAAAGGCCCACCAAGGCGACGAUCCGUAGCUGGUCUGAGAGGAUGAUCAGCCACACUGGAACUGAGACACGGUCCAGACGCCUACGGGAGGCAGCAGUGGGGAAUAUUGGACAAUGGGCGCAAGCCUGAUCCAGCCAUACCGCGUGGGUGAAGAAGGCCUUCGGGUUGUAAAGCCCUUUUGUUGGGAAAGAAAAGCAGCAGGUUAAUACCCCGCUGUUCUGACGGUACCCAAAGAAUAAGCACCGGCUAACUUCGUG
This 492-nucleotide ribosomal RNA is filed under the name uncultured bacterium. RNAcentral's name for it is "partial 16S ribosomal RNA". It matches the Rfam family "Bacterial small subunit ribosomal RNA", at positions 29 to 507 of the family's 1533-position model. The record is from RNAcentral.